AUUCAAGCAGGGGGACUAUGGAGGGAUGCUGCUUAUCAGUGCGCUCCCUCUGGCUUGCUCAGAUACCUUUCCUACCCAGCCCAGACUUACCUGCCUAGGGACGGCACUGCCCACAGUAGUGGGCCACUCCAUCAGUUAACAAUCAAACAUAGCCCACAAACAUAGCCACAAGCUAAUAUGAUGGAGACAGUUCUUUAGCUGAGGCUUUUCUUCCCAAGUUUGUCAAGUCGACAAUCAAGACUAGCCAUCCCAUCCUGGUUUUGGAUAACUUUUUGAGGAGAAAUAGCAAAUGAACCUGAUUUGAUGGAACUUACAUCCCUCUGGGCCAGCGAGGGUGCACAUCUGAGAAUGUCCAAGAGAACCAGGCUCCUGUGACAGGACUGUCCAAGUGAGGUGUUGAGGGUCCAGCACAGAGUUCUGGGGGUGCAGUUUCCUAAGCACAGUCCCGGCAUUGGUGGGUACCAACAUCUCCUUUCAUCACUCAGCAUGGUCCCGCACUGAUGGGUACCAACAUCUCCUGUCCCCCAGGAUGCUAAGCAGAUUACAUCACUGAACGCCAGAAAUGAUGACAAAGGUCAUCUCUAUGCCUAGACCUGUCAGACCCACUCGGGUCUCUGGUGACAAACGAUGAAUCGGGUCCCUCUGCUGUGUGACGUUCUUUCCUGCAUCUGAGGACAUCUGUCAUUGCUCUCCCCAUCCUGUUCUGGAGAGUAAGGUGUGGGCUUCUAAUCCUCCCACACAUGUGUCUGCCAUAGGCGGAUCCAUUUCUUUUGGACUGAUGCUAUGCAACAUGCUUGGUGGGGGCUGAGACACCAAAGCCUUCCCAGACCAGAGAGGCAGGCCAGACGAUAGUGCCUGACACCCAAGCUUAUCUGCUGGUGUAUGCAGAGCUGGAAUCCAGCUGUUGAGGCCGGGCACUUGCUCCGCCAACAAUUAGCUGAGCUUUGGAACAUCAACACCCAGACCACCCCCUUUUCUAAAGUGACAGUCACCCAGAGCUCAGGGCAGUACUAUUUAUCUGGCCAUUGAAUGGAGGUGGCCGGUGUCUUUGCUCCUGAAUGGGGCUGGCAAACUGCUGCUGGCUGGGGGCUGGAACAAAGCAGGCACCCGACUCUGACAUUUCUAAAUGGUUGGUAGAAAAUCUAGAGAGAGGGCAUCUUUCAUGACUCAUAGAAUUACAUAAAAUUCAAAUGUGUGUCUGUAAGUGAGAUUUUGCUAACAGCCACACUCGCUUGUCUCAGCUCGGUCUGUUAAAACAAAAUACCAGACAUGAGGAGGCUUACACAAUGGACAUUUCCUUCUCACGGGUCUGGAGGCCACAAGGCCAAGAUCAAGGUGCUAGCAGGCUCAGAUCCCCAGCAAGGCUCUUCUUGGCUCAGAGUUGGCUGUCUGAUCUUUGUGCUGGGCCAUCAUAAGGCAGAGCAAAGCGGCGGCCUCUUAGCUUUGUGAAGACGUGGACUUCAACAAGGGGCUCAAUUUCUCAGGGCCCUGGAUUCUGAUCUCCCCCCAAGACCUUGUUCCUUAACACUGAAGGGUAGGGCUUCAACAUGUGGCCUGGAGGAGGACAAAAGCAUUCAGCCUGGGUAACUGUCUCUGCUGUCGGUUUUUCACACAAUGGCAGAUUGAUCUGACGAUCUGGACUAAUAAUGAACUGCACCUCAAGGACCCCAGCAUCAGCCUGUCUGCAGCCACCGAGACUGUACUGCCAGCAAGCCUAAGGUGUUUUAUAAUCUGCCAGUUACAGAGAACAAUACGCAGAUCCUUGGCUCAGAGGUUAGAACACGGCUAUCCAGGAAGGCAGGGACUGGGGAAAUGACUUAGUUGGUAAAACGCUUGCUGUGUAAGCAUGGGGAGACAAGAGACAGACACAAAGAGAGACAGAGACAAAGAGACAGACACACAUGGAGGGCUGUGCCUCCCCUGCAGACACCAUGACUCCUGCCUGAUCUGCUUCUUACAUCCCCACCCCUCAUUAUUUCUGGCCUCUAACCCCACAUACCUGUCCUAGUUUGUGGGUUCUAACACCUGGACCUGUCUGUGGUCACUGAGGACAGAUGACAGACAGGUGCCCCUCUGCCCUGUCUCCAUGCACUCUUGGCCACUGGGUUCCGUUCCUCCCGCGCACUCGGCUGAGUCUUCAGCGUUUGCCGCCUUCCCAGCCAUUCUGGGUGGUUCUGCUGUGUCUUCCUCGUAAGAGAUCACAGGCUCUUCUCCUGGGGAUUUGAUCUGCUAAUCCACUUUAAUAUCCAGUACUGAAGGCAAACCCAUUUCAGUGGUGGCGUGACAGGUGGCAUGUAGCCUGUCCCCAUUCAUAACCUCACUCUGGAGUGAAGGCAAACCCAAAAAGGUUCGGGCGAUUCCGGGCUGGCUUCUGCUAUGGUCUCCUGAAAGGAUCCUCACUUCACAGCCCAGUUACCCAAGAGGACAACUUGGGGAUAUCGCCACUGUCCACACUUUACACAAUUCUAUCACACGGAAUCUACACGUUGACAGGGUAUCAGCAUAUUGCAGGGAAAGGGUCCCCAGAAGAAGUGAGGUUCCUUCCACCCACAGCCAGCCUUGUUUCAUACCAUCCAACCUACUCUCCACUCUUAGAUCUUAGGAGAACAGAGUGGGGAGGAGGGCACGAGGAUCUAGGGGACCCUGCUGGAAUCCUGGGCACCAAUGGGGGGUCCUCUUUGUUCUAACAGUUGAAGCUGUCCAUAGGUGACGGAUGAGCACUCUAGCUGGGGUACGUGUUUCUCAGUAUGCAGGGAUCUGAGGUUGAUCACAUGGCUGUCUUGUGCAAAGAUAAUCUCUGCACCAGAGCAACCUAAUUCCUGCAGACUCCUCUAAAGCCCAGAGCUAACACUGGUGUAAUAAACACCACACUCCACACCAACAAAUACCACCUUUGUCCUUAUUAGCACAUGGGACUUUCCCCAGGGUGCGGGGCGCAUGAGCAAAGCAUUUCUGGGUCUAUAGAGGGUGGAUCAGCAAACCGUGUGCCAUGAAAGCUCGAGGGCUUGAAUCUGGGUCCCCAGCAUCCACACAAACAGCCGGAUAUGGCUCUGUGUGUGUUCAACAAGAGACUCUGUUUCAAAUAUAUAUUUGAAAUUAAGGAAGACACUUGAUAUCGAUCGGCUUCUGGUCUCCACACGGAUAAUCACACGUGUGUAAUUGUAUGUCCCUGACUCCCCACCCCCCAAUGAAUUCAAUACCCAUCUCUGGCAAGAAGUGUGGAAAAGCCCGCAGGACAGGGCAGAACUCCAACAAUUUAGGGAUUUGCUGCUUGUCAGUUUCUGGGGGCACAAAAGCAACCAGAGACUGUGUGUAAAGGGAGAGAUGUGGCCGUGUGCUGAUAAAACUCAUUUACAAAAAUAGGCGGUGGGCUGUAAUCUGCAGAUGCUGAUUGCAAUGUCUGUCUGUCUGUCUGUCUUUAUCUACCAAGCUGGGUGUGGUGGUGCACACCUUUAAUCCCAGCACUCAGGAGACACAGGCAGGUGGAUCUCUGUGAGUUCGAGGCCAGCCUCGUCUACAUAGUGAGAGUUCCAGGACAGCCAGGACUACAUAGCGAAACUCUGUCUUAAAAACACAAAGACCAAAACCCAACCAAACAAUCCCCCAAAUGCCAGGCACCACCCAUGAUGAUGAGAUUAAGGCAGGUGUGUAGACCCUCAUGUUCUCUGUGCUCGGCAUUCUGACCACCAUGUAGCUGGGGGCUGCACACAUUGGGGGGGGGCUGCCCAGUUCUUCUAUGGGGGAUAUUCUGAGUCUGGAAAGGGGACCCCUCAAGGUCAAAGAAGAAGGGUUCUGGCCAGACAACCCUUUGUGCUGAUGUCUGAGUCGCUACCCUUGCUGCUUGGCUGGGUCACGGGAUGAGGACAGCAUGGUGGGGACCCCCCAACUCAGAGCUGUUUUCACUUUGCCAUCAAUUCUACUCUACCAAAGGACUGCAGUCCCGAUGAAUCUCUUCCGGAGUGAACGCUGCUGUAGCGCCAUCUUCCCAGCUUCCCUCCGUGCCACUGCUCAUCUGCAGAGGCUCAGAGCUGAGGACAGCUGGCCGUGCGACGCAGGCUGCUGCCUUUGAUGCUGCACUAUUUUUGGAGACUCUCUUUGCCUCAUUUAUUUUUGAUUUGAGUUGCUCACACAGACUGUGUGUUCUCAUUCUCCCUCUUGCACCGAGUUAAAUGCAUGUAGUAUUUUUAAACCCAGAUUGUGUCACCUCGUGAUUAGCAGAGAUGAGCCACGCACCCAGACAGCGCUGGCCAAGACGGGGGCCUCCUGGUUCAGCCCUUGGCGUUGGGUGAUCUCACUAUUCUGAGUGCUGAGGUAGGGCCGUCCUGGGAAGGAAAGACUGGGUCUUGUGGACCAAGGCCCUGCACUGAGAACCAUACUGUGAGUGGCUGGGGUCCAGGAACAUGUCAGCGACGUUCUCCAAGAACCACAGUGGAAGGAUGGAAAGGUACCUUCCAGAUUGCAGCCCUGGAUCAGGUCCCUGUAGUGAUGGGUGUCAGAGCGGUUGGUGACUUGGGAUGGUCCUGGUGAGGCCUUGGGAAGGGAUUUAUAGAUAUUCCUGCCAUCAGCUGUUACCAUCACUAGACACAGAUGACAAUUAUGGAAACUGAGGUUUCAAGAGGCAAAGCUAGCCUGCCCCUGCCACUGGGUGAAUAGCAGAUCUGGAAAUCUCCUCAAAAUUAGAGUCCUGGGCCAUCCCCAGCAGAGCAUCCUCAUUACAGGGGAGCCUGAGUCCUUCCAGGAGGUGAGCCAUUUGUCAAGCGACUGGGAGACUCCAGGUGUGAGUGGGAGGCUUGGGUCAGGAGGAGAGAUGGGAUGGAUGACUCUGUGCUGAUGAACUUGGGGCCUCAGAGUUAGCCCAUGCGUCCAUGCGGGGUGUGAGGGAAGGUAAGAGAGCAGGUGGGUUCGGGACGCUGGUGGCUGGGUGCAGCCCGAGUGCUCCUUGGACAUCUGGGAGGGAGCAUGACGGUGUUCCUAGUCAUGGUGCUUCCCUCUCUUCUGCUGCAGCGCCUUUGUGGGACUCCCUUCCAUGCUCUUCCUUGGGGUCUCUCAUCAACUGACACCUGUCCCGAGGGCUCUGUCUGUCAUGCAGUUUCGCACGUUUUCUGUCACGCAUGCACUUCAGCCCGCGAGCAGCGCUCACUUCGGUGUCCACCCAGAGUAUGACCCGGGGCGCGUCUCAUUUCCUGCUUAGCUCCUUCAGACCUCGCGACAGGGCCUAAGCCUGGCCAGCGUCCUGCAUGCCCCUGCCCAAUGCGUGCAGUUCACCUCUUUGUUGUGGACAAGCGGCUCUUUGCUUACAGAUAACACAGGUGUCAGCAUGGGGCCCAGGGUUAGCAGAGGCAGCUGCACAGGCCCCAGGCUUUCAGUUUCUGGCUCAGCCAGGUCUAUGGUCCUCCACCAAGACGAUGUUGGCUCCUGAAACCUGCAUGAGGUACUAAGGUUCUAGUGGCAACGCCGCGACACACGUG
This 5468-nucleotide long non-coding RNA is filed under the name Cricetulus griseus (Chinese hamster). RNAcentral's name for it is "lncRNA (ENSCGRG00015038682.1)". The record is from RNAcentral. Lineage: Eukaryota; Metazoa; Chordata; Mammalia; Rodentia; Cricetidae.